GACGAACGCUGGCGGCGUGCUUAACACAUGCAAGUCGAACGGUGAAGGGGCCUGCUUUUGUGGGCCCUGGAUGAGUGGCGAACGGGUGAGUAACACGUGAGUAACCUGCCCCCUUCUUCUGGAUAACCGCAUGAAAGUGUGGCUAAUACGGGAUAUUCUGGGUCUGUCGCAUGAUGGGUCUGGGAAAGAUUGCGCCUUUGGGUGUUUUUGGUGGGGGAUGGGCUCGCGGCCUAUCAGCUUGUUGGUGGGGUGAUGGCCUACCAAGGCGGUGACGGGUAGCCGGCCUGAGAGGGUGGACGGUCACACUGGGACUGAGACACGGCCCAGACUCCUACGGGAGGCAGCAGUGGGGAAUAUUGCACAAUGGGCGCAAGCCUGAUGCAGCGACGCCGCGUGAGGGAGGGAGGCCUUCGGGUUGUAAACCUCUUUCGCCAGUGAAGCAGGCCUGCUCCUUGUGGGUGGGUUGACGGUAGCUGGAGAAGAAGCGCCGGCUAACUACGUG
This 502-nucleotide ribosomal RNA is filed under the name uncultured bacterium. RNAcentral's name for it is "partial 16S ribosomal RNA". It matches the Rfam family "Bacterial small subunit ribosomal RNA", at positions 28 to 507 of the family's 1533-position model. The record is from RNAcentral.